Molecule: ribosomal RNA, 275 nt
Filed under: uncultured bacterium
Lineage: Bacteria
Description: partial 16S ribosomal RNA
Rfam family: Bacterial small subunit ribosomal RNA
Source: RNAcentral
CCUACGGGGGGCAGCAGUGGGGAAUAUUGCACAAUGGGCGCAAGCCUGAUGCAGCAACGCCGCGUGAGUGAUGAAGGCUUUCGGGUCGUAAAACUCUGUCCUAAGGGAAGAAAAAAUGACGGUACCUUAGGAGGAAGCCCCGGCAAACUACGUGCCAGCAGCCGCGGUAAUACGUAGGGGGCAAGCAUUAUCCGGAAUCACUGGGCGUAAAGGGUGCGUAGGCGGCUGAGCAAGCCAGGGGUGAAAGGCAGUAGCUUAACUAUUGUAAGCCUUUG